RNAcentral lists this ribosomal RNA (475 nucleotides) under uncultured bacterium. RNAcentral describes it as "SSU rRNA". It matches the Rfam family "Bacterial small subunit ribosomal RNA", at positions 26 to 518 of the family's 1533-position model. The record is from RNAcentral.
AGGACGAACGCUGGCGGCGUGCUUAACACAUGCAAGUCGAGCGGUAAGGCCCUUCGGGGUACACGAGCGGCGAACGGGUGAGUAACACGUGGGUGAUCUGCCUCGCACUCUGGGAUAAGCCUGGGAAACUGGGUCUAAUACCGGAUAUGACCAGGAACUGCAUGGUUUUUGGUGGAAAGAUUUAUUGGUGCGAGAUGGGCCCGCGGCCUAUCAGCUUGUUGGUGGGGUAAUGGCCUACCAAGGCGACGACGGGUAGCCGACCUGAGAGGGUGACCGGCCACACUGGGACUGAGACACGGCCCAGACUCCUACGGGAGGCAGCAGUGGGGAAUAUUGCACAAUGGGCGAAAGCCUGAUGCAGCGACGCCGCGUGAGGGAUGACGGCCUUCGGGUUGUAAACCUCUUUCGACAGGGACGAAGCGUAAGUGACGGUACCUGUAGAAGAAGCACCGGCUAACUACGUGCCAGCAGCCGC